Molecule: transfer RNA, 75 nt
Filed under: Saprospirales bacterium
Lineage: Bacteria; Pseudomonadati; Bacteroidota; Saprospiria; Saprospirales
Description: tRNA-Thr
Rfam family: tRNA
About the family: Transfer RNA (tRNA) molecules are approximately 80 nucleotides in length.
Source: RNAcentral
GCCAAUGUAGCUCAGCGGUAGAGCACUUCCAUGGUAAGGAAGGGGUCCGGGGUUCAAUCCCCCGCAUUGGCUCCA